GACGAACCGUGCGAACGUUGUUCGGAAUCACUGGGCUUAAAGGGCGCGUAGGCGGGCUGCCAAGUCUGGGGUGAAAUCCUCCGGCUCAACCGGAGAACGGCCUCGGAUACUGGCGGUCUCGAGGGAGGUAGGGGCGUGCGGAACUAAGGGUGGAGCGGUGAAAUGCGUUGAUAUCCUUAGGAACUCCGGUGGCGAAGGCGGCACGCUGGACCUUUUCUGACGCUGAGGCGCGAAAGCGUGGGGAGCGAACAGG
This 253-nucleotide ribosomal RNA is filed under the name uncultured bacterium. RNAcentral describes it as "partial 16S ribosomal RNA". It matches the Rfam family "Bacterial small subunit ribosomal RNA", at positions 524 to 776 of the family's 1533-position model. The record is from RNAcentral.